AUGGAUUUUUGUUAUUGUUCCUGUCCAGGGAAAGAAAGAAAAGACGAAGAAGAAGAAGAAGAAAAAGAAAAAGAAGAAGGAAAAGAAAAGACCCCCCCCACCCUUUCCUCUUCGACUGCUUUAUUUAAGCCAGUGGGAAACUUCAGCCAAAGUAGCUUUGACACUGCUGGGGCCGGAGGGGAGGGGCGGCCGGGCCCCGCGGAUCAUCCAUCAUCCCUGUCACCCAGAGUCUGCCCGGAGGAGCCGCAGACGCAAUCUCCCUUCUGUCUCUACAGCGAAACUAUUAAUAUUAAAGCCUCCCUUCAAACAGCGCCCCGACGGCCUCCAUUCUCCUCGCAGCUGACCGGCUGCCCGGCCCGCGCCUCUCCCGCACGGCCCCUCGCUGCGCCNNNNNNNNNNNNNNNNNNNNNNNNNNNNNNNNNNNNNNNNNNNNNNNNNNNNNNNNNNNGCACCCGCCCAGCCCCUGCCCGGGGUCACCCCGCGCACCCCGACACCCCACCCCGGGCCUGCCAGCCCCGGGCAACUCCCUUAGAGGAUCUCCCGCCAGCAAGACUAUUGGGGGAACUUCUGGGGGAUCCCCGUCCAGGCCCUUCGAAGGGAGGGCCUCCCUUGACAGCUGCUAGAGAUAUUAGCCACAUUUCCCUGCCCAAAUCUGCUCCCGGUUAACAGGCCCGCGGGGCCAGGGGCACCCCGAGCCUCCUCCGCUCAGAUCUAACCCGGAGCGGGCCUGGGGGAAGGGGUGCAGUGCUGACCUGGGCAGUGGGAGGGAGUAGGGAGGGAGGAAGACACAGGCUUUCCGGGUCUUUUUUCCUCCCCACCCCACCCCCUUUAAAAUGUGGCUUCUUGCUCAAUUCCCAAACCUUAACAGAUGGCGACUGUAGUUCUCUCAGAAUUUCUUAAAGAAAGGGAAACCUUUGGAAUUUAUUUCUGCUUUUGCUUCUCCAUAUAAAUAAAAAAGUGUUUUUAUAUUAUUCUUGUUUUGGAGAACAUAAGCAAUUUUAUUCAGACUACAGUAUUUCCUUUAACACUAUAUGGUUGUCAAAACACCAUUCCCAGUUUCUUUGCUUUUGACAGCUGAGUCUUUCUUAAAUAUACCCAAAUCGGAACUCUUUAUACUAAAUAGUAAAACCGAGAUAGGAGCAAGUGCCUUCCGAGGUGGUAUAAAAAGUACCCUGAAAAUCGGACAAAGCUAUCAUCCUGCUGUCUUGGCAUGGGAUGUGUGUGUGUGGGGGGAUGCAAACAGACUUAUUACAAUUACCAUUCACCUCCACCUAUUUCAGAGGAUUAAAGUGAACAUCAUAGAAUGUGGAUUGUUUUCUUCAUUAAAAACCAAUAAUAGAAUGCUCUGGCUUCUAAUCUGCAAAGAAAUAACUUAAUAAUUUCACAUGACAUGUCCUAAACAUGCACCAAUUACCAAGCAAACCCUUCAGCAUGUACUUUAUUG
Molecule: long non-coding RNA, 1444 nt
Filed under: Fukomys damarensis (Damara mole-rat)
Lineage: Eukaryota; Metazoa; Chordata; Mammalia; Rodentia; Bathyergidae
Description: lncRNA (ENSFDAG00000029329.1)
Source: RNAcentral